UUAGAUGGGGUGUAUAUCAACUUGAUAAAUUAGUUUAAUUUGGGGACCCUUACCCUUUGCGCACGUCCCAGAUUACGCCCUCAUUAUUCUCAUUAUAGCCCUUUUCUCGUGACGGCCAGCGGCUGCAAAAAGGAGAAAGCGACUCAAACAAACCGUUGGCCCAAAUUCCAUUCUUUGGUAAGUAACUUUAUUUGUUUUUAUAAUAGCUUGGAAUGUAUUUCGCUGUCGAUUAAGGCUUCCAUUCUGUAAUAAUGACCAUACUAUGUGCAACAGCUGUGAUCAUUUAGCUGGCUAAUAUUGUUUCAAAUUGGCAGGCCUGCUGGCAAGCUAAGAAGUAGCCGACAUGGUUAGCAUUACAGAGCAGAGCCGACACCCUGUCAUUAAUACAACUUAGGUGCCGAACCAUAUGCUCCCAAAAAAAGGCGAGCAGUUGAAGCUGCGGAGAGUUGAAGAGAGUUUAGCCACGUUUUCUUAACUGACAAAUAUUUAAUGUUAAUUAAGCCUGGGCACAUCUUUUGCAGUUUAAUCAGCAUAACUCAGCUUCUUAGUCCGUUAAUUACGCGGCACCCCGUCAUGCUGUAAACAUGUAUCUGCAGUUACUGUAUUUGUAUUUAUUUCAAUCUAGAUGUUACAGUGUUAUGUGAAUACGAGGUGUUGUUGUAUCAUAAUGAGGUUAUCAGGUUAUUCAACUGCAGUACGACGGCACAGAAAGCAAAGGUAGAAAAUGCACGGCCUGCCACUGGAUCAUUGUAACAACAUCUUGUCCACAUUUGCAUUUUUAAACACGUGUUGAAUAGUUAAUUGACAAUUUAUUUUAGAUGUUAUCCAGUUUUCUUUAAAGAGCUAUGAAGUGUUUCUUUUUCAUUAACAAAAACACCAGCUGUUAAUUGUUGAAAGGCUGCAUUUAGGGGUUCGGUGUCCUCUUCAGGGUUGCUUGGACAGAGGUGAACCCUCGGUCUUCAGACAACAGGCUCUCCUGCCUGGACCACCGCCACACCCACAUUGAGCUAAAUUCUUUCUUGAGUUGUCUCCCUUGUUUUAGUCUGCCCCCCCACCGGUGUUAAUGAUGUCAUUCUGAAAAGUAUUAUCAACCUCAUCUGUGAAGAUCCAGACUCUUUUCAAAAAGUAUCUGGUAGGUUUUCACAAUAUAUUUUAUAAUAUCCCACGUGGCAACAAAGUGUUACCCACACUUAUUUCUCCCAUGGCACUCUAGGUAUUAUGAGACAUUGCUAUGGUACACCACCAUCCCUAAUUAUGGAUAGGUGUCUUACCAAGUGUCUAGACCGCAAACGUAGUGUCAAUGCUGCACUCACUUGGUCUAAUUUUCACACUGCACUUGAGCAAAUGACUCGGUUCUGUAUUUGUUCCCUUAUCAAAAAGCUUGACAAAUCAUAAUAAGGGUUACACAAUACAGAGUCAACAGCGAGAAAGGAGAAAGCAAUAAAAUCAAAGAACAGGUCCAGAUCAGAAAAUAUAUGUUGUGGUGUUUAAUUCAAAUGUAUAUAUAAUUCCAUAACCCAGACUAAUGUUGCAAUUCAACCUAUAAAAUGCGUGUAAUAAUAUUCUGUUAGUUUUCUGUGUUUGUGUGUUCAGGCCUCCACUGCUGAGGAUGGAGAGAGGGACAUGGCAUUCAGUGUCGGGGGGGUUCUCAUGAUCCGUCUGGAAAGCCAGACGACGUGGGAAUUGUGAUCAACACAUUGAUGUCCUGAAACAACACAGAUGGGGUCCUCAUGACAUUCAUCAUGCUUCGUGCUCAUUUGUGCCAUUGAUCUGAGCUUUCUAAACAACCUUAAGUACAGCAUGAGGCUUUUCCAGAAGAUCAUAAAAGAAAUUCAAAGAUACAGCAACUGAAGAUCAAGUUGUUUGCACAGGAGUCAAACACCAAGUGAGAAAGCAAAUUAACUUCAUCCGCUCUUUGGGCAUCCAUUGGACCUGUUUCUGCACAUGAUAAUACAGCUAUUCUUCAAUGUAAAUGACCAAUUGCAUGAAUGCAUCUUUGUUUAUAUGGGCCAUGUGUACUACAAGGAAAGAAAACAAAGCUGUAAUGCUCUUGAUAAACAAAGUAGUGAGAAUUUAGCAAUUGCAAAAUUGGUUGUGUAUCAAUUGCAGGAAUUUCUUCUGUGCUUUUUUUGAAAGGUGGUCCAUGGAGAAUGAGCAGAACGUUCAAUGCAAAGAUUUCUCCUCUUUGGAAAGCAGUGCGAAGCCUCCACCCUCGUGGCGUCUUUGUUGCGUCAGGUACCAUGACAUUUGGGAUAGCUUUGGAUUUAUGUUUCACUAUUUAAUACUAUUUAAGAUAUAUAUUAAUAUUUCAUCAGGAAAUAUCCACAUGCUAACUCUCUCAAAUCUGACACUGACAUUCUCUCACGAUCUACUUUUGUAUGUUACCAAACUAACUGCCGGACAUAAAAGUGGAAGUUUACCUAUAACUCUGUGUACAGCUAGUGAUAAAGUUUAGCUUGUCGUAAGCAAGACUGAGAGCAAAGAUUGUCGUAAGCAAGACUGAGAGCAAAGAGUACAAUAAACCUUGUACCCUGAUGCUGAUACCAGCUGUGGAAUUUGGCAAGAGUGCUGCCGUUUGGGUACUACUACUACUACUACUACUACACAAGAACAGCUUUGCAUAUUGAUUUGUAUACUUCCAACAUCUCCGGGUCAUGAUGAAAUGUAGGCCCACACAAGUUGGUACAAUUUUCAGUUUGUUUACUGUUAACUUAUUAUGAUAAGAUAAUGAAUGCAGCUUCAACAAAGUAAAGUAAACCAUGACUUGAUUUGACAUAGUGGGAGCUUUCUGUGUGAUGCGGCUCGGUGCUUCAUGCUCAUUUGCAAUGUAAAGUGUGAAGAGGAGUGGAGCUGCGUCUGCUCCCUGUGGAACGCCCGCACUCCAGAUAGCCAGUCUUUUCUAUUACUAGAGGGCUCUAUGAUGAUGAUGGGCAAAAUGUACAACAUUUAGUGAGGUUAUGAUUGGCUGGAGGGGCAAUCGUUACUACAUCCACUUAACUAAAGAUCACUGCUGUAAGCCCCGAGGCUACACGGGGAACGUGAGCGUGAAUGGCCGUCUCUUUUUGUGUGUCAGCGCUGGGAUUGACCGAUGACCUGUUCAAGGCGUACGCCACCUCUCAUCCCGAUGUUGGAGCUGCAGCUGCAGCCACGCACGACCCUCCAAGCGGUUGAAGAUAAUACAUGGAUGGAUUUUUGACCUCACAAGAUGCACCUAAAGAAUAUCUUUCAUACGCACUUCUGAUAUGAUCAGGAGAAUGGUUAAAGAAUGUGUCUAGAGUCAAUUACAUGUGGAUUUGUGCUUUGAAUCAUGCCUUGUCCAUUAAGUCAUUUUCUCUCCCUCUCUCUCUACCUCUUUUGAAUAGGCACUUCCUCAUUUUAAUGUUUAUCUUUAUCUGCAUCAUGGCUUUCUUCAUUUUAUGAAUCUACCUUUUUUCUUAUUUCUCUGGCAUUUGCGUUAUUUUGCGUAAUAAUGCAUGACAUUUUCCAUUCACUGCAGUGCUUCAACAUUUGAAUGUUUUGAAUGAAUGCUUUUACAUUUGCAUAUACAGUAUAAGCAGGCAGCUUUUUAGCACAUAAACAGAUGCAUUUUAUGCUUAUGUAAGUAGCAGCAUUGUUGGCAAUACAUUGAAUUAAAUAAGGGGCUUCUACUUUCACAAAUGUGUAGCUGCAUUGAUAAUGUUUGGCCGGUGCCCCAAAUUAAAAUGCAGCUUUAAGACUUUUUACAUCAUAUCGUAGCAUAUAAUGUUAUUAGCAGUUACAGCUUAAAAAUCAAUGUUGCAUCUACUAUUCUUGCAGUCUGGAUUGUUAGUGGAGGCAACUUCUUUGUUUGCUAGAACACCUGUGAAGGACCACUUAACAAAAGUGAGAAAAUCAACCUCAAGGAGACGUAUCAUGCUCGCUGGUUUCUUUUCUGGCAUUCCAAUGUUUGUUCCUUUUUACCAGUCUACUAAAAUAUUCCUAAAAGGCUAGUGUGUGGAGGUCAACUAGGCUUCAUUGUUACACCAGAACUCACAGAAUUGAACAUUUAGUCAAGUAAGGUCUUAAGAAAAAAUGUGAGGUGCUUGUACUUCACUUGAUAGAAUUUCAUACUCAUUUAUAGUUCUAAGCCACGUCAUUUCAGUUCAAUAGUCACUUUAGAUUGUUGAUUUUUAUUUUGUAUUAAUAAUCGCAAAGAUAUUGGACGUGAUGUAUUAUUAUAGAUUACGCUACUCGGCUGUGCAUAUUAUCCAUUAUACUGAAAUUGCUGCUUGAUUAAUUCCCUUUGUAAUCAAAUAAUUGCUGUUUUGAGGAUGAACUUCAAAAAUGAAAGUCGACUAGGAAUUAUACAUAAAUAUGCAAAUUCAUACUGUAGAUAUCUCCUAGAGGCGUCAGUAAGGUCACUAUGGAAGCAGAACUGUAAACUGCUAACUCUAUACGGUUGGAAUUUGUGUUCAUUUUAAUUUCAAAUAUUCACAGUUGUGUGUCGACUGGUUGUUAUUCCAAAGGAUUAAUGAUAAUGUAAUUAAACCGUGUGUGACACACACACACACACACACACACGGAGCAGAGACCCCGGGAGAAGGGUGGACCGUACAGGUCGAUCCCUCCCUCAGCAUCUAACUCUAAGGUGAGCAGCGCUGCCUGCAAUCAGGAGAGGCGAGCUGCUCCACGCCUCCCGUCCCACUGCCCAGCGCCUGCUCAUUAAAUCCAGUGUUCAAAGAGAGAAGUGGCCGGAUUGCAGGAAUUUAUACACGUGCAUCUGGCCAUAUUUUCUCCUACGUAGUGACUCUGCAUGUAGUACACAUACAAAGAAAUGUAUGUCCAAAGUGUUAUGAAUGUACAUGUCGGAGUCUAAUGAAUGGAAUCUAUUUCCUGUGUCGGUACAGCCACUGGUGAAUAUGCAGGAUGUAAAACAAUCCGACGCCAUUGAAUGGAUUUGCCAAAAGGAACCAUAGUUUCACACCUCUAACUUGAUAUCACCAUGUUUGUUUAAACUAUGCAAAUAUAAUUUACACUUUGAAGCUUUAGGAAAACUCAAAAGUAUUUUCCAUUAGGACAACUUGUGUGUCUGUAUGAACGUGCUGAACCUGCGUGUAGCUUAAAGAACUGACCUCAUCCUCUCAGUUGUCUGCCCCCAGCGACCGGUCGAGUUGCAGUUCACACCCAAGUCUGUCGCUGUCUAUCCCUUCAUGAUCGUAUCGGGAUGUUGUCUUGGAAAUUCAUCAUAAAGAAUUCAAAUUCUUGUUUAGCAUGUUGUGAGGCCACAGUGACUUUGACAACAAAAUUGUACCAGUUCAUGCUUUAGCGCCAGUGGAUGAUUGUGUAACUUCAACGAAAUUCCCUCCACGUCGUCCAAGGAAAUCAUGAGUGCCGCAGGCUCAAAAAGAAAUGGAAGUAGUGAGUUACAGAAAAGCAGAGGGGAUUGAUUCACUGAAGGAAGUUGAAACGUUUUGGGUGCAGUGCAAAACUAAAGAGCGGUAUCACAUGUCAACUGCCCCCAGGCGAGCAAACAGAUUUAACUUUCUCCUAUUUUGAGGAAACAACUAAUCGUAACUGUGUGGGCCCGUGCAGCCCUAUAGGUAGAUACUUGCUGGAACAGUGGCUUUACUCCCACUGGUACCAUCCACACUCAACAUAUCAGGGAUCCUCUUUCGUCGGGGCGCUUUAGUUGCAAAUAUCCACCAAGUGGUAUAGUUUGUCCCUACAGGCUGCCUUUAUCCUCUGCUACCGGCUUUUAGCCUCAGGCUAACCCUGUUAGUUCCCAAGGGUGAGGAAGAGGAAAACGCUGCUUCCUCAUUCAUUCCUUCAAGCAUACACCAGAUUGAAAGUGCUGGGAUAUUUAUGAUGGCCAUUUCAUGGAGUGAAUAGCUUUGCGUCGAGGAUGGAUGCCCUCGUUCCUGUUUUUAUUCAUUUUCAGAGCAUACUUGUGACAUUGUCUUGUCUUUCAUUACGUCUUUCUGAAAGAAAGUUUGAAUUCUAGAGGAGUUCAUUUUUUUAAUUCCGAUGUAAAGAUAAUAUAAGAGGGACAUUAAGUCUUCCCUUUUUGUUGAGGGUGGCAACAAAUGCCAUCAUCACACAGUUUACGAGGGUUAAAACUAAAAGAUCUAGAUUCGACCAUUUGGGGACAGCAUAGAAACUAGCUGUGAACACAACACUGACAUAAAUUUGAUAAGACAAACAGUUGCUCAUUUACCCAUCCAGCAAUUUAAGGAGCAACAGUAUUAUUAGAGUCGUGUGUCUUUCCAGUUGGUGAACGUAGGUCCAAUCGUAGAUCUACUUUUUAUUUUGUUUUUCCUAACCGAGGGCAAGUAGUUAAGCUAGAAAUGAAAUAAACCUACAUUAGAAGUUUGAAGACAAGUUAUGCACGUAAGGAGUGGUUGAGGAGUUGGGAAUGAGAAUGUGUUGUCUAAGGAGAAAGCUUGCUCUUUUAGUUUGAGACUGCGGCAUUAAACAUUACUGACACAGAAAACAGCGAGCUGAAACCCGCUAUGAAGCCGCAUGAAGCCAAGUGGAGCUGCAGAUUAAGUGGAUCAUUGUGUGUACGGACGACCACGUUCACAUUGUUUCCACAUUGUCAUUUGAUACAUUGCUAUUAUGAAAAUAUCGAUUUUAGCCACUUUAACUCCAGUAUAUUAAGUCAUUGCUGAGAGUGGGAAGAGUACAAAAGGCAUGGAGGUUAAAAGAUGAAGUGGGAGAAUUUGUCAAUUUGGGGACAAGUUAUUAAGUCAGUGCACUGGCCUGCUCAUUUAAGAAUAAAACACUCACCUCAAGGCAAUUUCUGCCCUGUGGUCUGGAACCAACCUUGUCAGAUUAAAAUAACAUUUAUAUAUCACUAAUUCACAAUGGCAAAUACAAGAAAUGAUGCGGCACAGAGUAGUAAAGUUUGUUUGUAAACGUAGUGUGCAGUUUACACACGUCGGUCUUCAUGUAUUUGUCAAGUUGUCAAAUGUAUUCUGAUGUAAUAACCCUUAACUGACAUCACAUAAAGGUUGUAUUUCUCUAAUAUCCAGUUGCAACUAAAGCAAUUCAUAUUUAUGGUUUCUUUAUUCACAUUUAACCAAAACCACCAGUUCUUCCAAACCUGAAACAUCCCCAGUCUCAGGUAACAUUUUGAGCCACAGACCCGCCUACAUGCUGUGGGAUGCACAGAAAAGUGCUUAUACCAGAAGAAAUGAUGCCAGGGAACAUGAUCCAAGCAGUGUUUACCUUUCCCUCAGAGCACAAUCGGGUAAACAGAUCAGUAGUAUAUACAGGCAAUUUCUAAAAGACAAUUUUGCAUUAUCAAUGAGUAUUCUGCUACGCUAAUAGCACGAGCAUGAAACCAGUUUUUUAGUGGCGCUCACAAAAUCAAUCGCACUGAAACACCCAUUUAUUGUGUGCUCGCAAAAUAUACAGAGCUCUAUCUUUCAAUUGAAUUACAAAUAAUAACAAUAAUAACGUUGGCGCAUUCCGCCGCUGAUCUCGGUAUACAAGUACAAUUUCCCUACGAACGGCAUAAGAUAAGGUUUUGCAAACGCGUUGUUAUUAUCAUCAUCAGCAAAACCCCUUUUGAAUCAAUCGACUGCGACAGAUCUCCUGGUUGGAAAAUACCUGAAGAACCAGAAUGAUUGAGCAGGUUCUGGCAUAUUGAAAUAAACAUGGCAACGAUGAUAAAUAAUACGGCUCGAGGUGAUGGCGGUGAUGAUGAUGAUGAUGAUGAUGACGACAAUUCCUUGAACAGCAGCUCUGCACAUGUUAUUCUACUCUCUUCUAAAGAAGAGAACCAUAGUUUUAGUACUGCAGCGUUAAUGGAGCCGUGACCAAAGUUUAAUUUGACAAGCGCCUGUCUCACACACACACACACACACACACACAAAUACACACAAGAAACCGAAAGUGCUUCUAAGAGCACAGUAACAUGUUCACAGCAACAUGCGGACACGCUUCUAUACGUGCACUCUAACCUUUCAACUCUAGGCCUGGGUAAUAAACACCGGCAAACGUUUUCCCAUGACAUUGUGAUCCCCCAGAUUUACUAAAGAAAUGGAUGAUUUAUUAAUACAUUAGAGUAAUUAUGAGGUAAAAAUCAAUCACUAGAUAUCUGAUACACGGUUGAGUGUUAUUCCAGAAUGCUCUCUCAGGAGACGGUGUAGAUUUCAGUAAGUCUGAAAUGUAAUUAGCCUUUAGCUCGGGGCUAUGCUGCGUUCAGCUUGACCUCCUCUCCACAAUGGCCGAGCAUCACUGAUACCGGACUAGUUUUUCAGCCAGACGAAUGCAUGAAUAAAUGAAUCACAAAGAGAAGAGGAAUAUUCACAAAUGAAUGUUUCACUGCAGUGCAAGUUGUACUUUUGUCGCUGGAGUUGAGUGGGAUAGUCUUGACUUUCCUUGAGGUAGCGCUUAUCCACGAUGGUUCAUUUUACACCCUGAAAAUCCAUCCAGUUUUGCACGAAUAUUAACUCAAGCACGGUUGCUGCUGUAAAUGUCUACCUACAAAGACCAGACCGAAUUCUCCUGAACGCCUCAAGAGCUUCAUUUUGCACUACUGGCCUCUGAAAGAAACGUAACAGUCAUGCAUGUCUUGGACAGGUUUGAACUCGGAUAAUCUUGACAACGAGGUGAAUCUCUAGGUUACUCCUAGAAAUGGCAGGAGCAAACAGAAGUAUUAUGUCUGCAAGGACAAAGUUGCUUCUCAAGGCCUGAUGCAUCACUUUGCAUGACUCAAUACGACCCAUGUGUCUUUGUCUGAUCUAAUUGGCUACUAGUCUGGUUGAUUUACCACGGUGCACUUUAUAUAAGUGUAUAGGUUUGCUAAGAACAAAAGGUAUUGAGCCACUUGAGGCGUGCUUUGCUGCUAUCAGAUAAAGAGAGACAACUGUCUGUAGGUAGCCUAAGGAAGAAGGAUGGUUCAGCUUCUAGCAAGUAGGGCACCACUAACCUUGAGCCAGGAUGAUACAGUGUAUGUGACAAAUUGGUUGUUUGUUAACCAUCAACUGGCCUAGAAAGCCCUCCUGAAGCCACUAGACAAGAUACAACGCAAUGCUGAUGGGACCAAACUACUGCGCCAGCCACAGGCGUACCCCACUGCUGCGCCAACGUCCUUAUUAACCCAUUUAUCAACACGUCAGCUGGGUUGGUACAUGGCUCUUGAAGGGGGCGGCUGCGGUUCAGGAGGUAGAGCAGGUUGGGCGUGGGCAACGUGUAUAGAAGCUCUGUGUGAACGCAGUCCAUUCACCGCUGUAAUUGACAAUGAUCCUCUGAAGCAAAGCAAACCUGAAACUGGCUUUGUUCGGUCAGCAGGAGAGAAUACUGUCAAACAGGGGCUUUUUAUGGACAGUCUAUUAACUCGCAAUGACACGUUUCAAGAUACCAACAGUGUGGAGCGGGGGCUCUGAGUUACGCCACUAAUGUGUGUUGCACUUAAUCAUUUUUAAUCACUAAAUUGGUUUUCAAAUCAGGAAUUGAUUUUCUUGGAUUACAGUUUUUGUAACAUCCGUUAAAUCGUGCAAGGACUGUUGUGACUAUCGACAGGCAACAUGGAUGUUCAGUUCAGUUAUUAUUUAUGGUUAUAGUGACUUGUUGUUUGUUUAAUUUUUGUUCCUAGGGAAAUAUACUUGACUGACUUUCACAAAUAAGCUUGUAAUCAUUGUCCAUAUAAGGAAGAGAUUGAGAAAAGCGGUCGAACAAAGGGCUUUCUCCCGUGAGACCGCCACUCUAACUAUAUUUACGAACUGAUAUAUCUCUAUAUCUUAAAUACUGUAACAAACAAGUCAAACCAUUAUGUAUUCACAAAACACAACCAUGUAUUUUUGUUGAGUUAUGUUUAACAGUUAAAACUUUAAUAGUAAUCUGGGAGGAAAAGCGUUACCCUCCAAACGUAAGCGGGACUAUAGGUUGGUUGUAUAUGAUUGUAAUUAAGUGAAAUAAAGGGUAGCACAUGUGUCCACAUCUUUUGAGUUGGACAGGAAAAUCUCCAGAGAUCCCUCUUUUUUUUCACACGUCCAUACUACUGAGCCUACUGGCACUAAACUACUGCUUUGUUUGCAUCCAAUGCUAGUAAAAUAAAGCCCCACGGCAAAAAAACUUGCUCAACUUCUUAAGUCAGCCGUCCCUGUUGUAAAUCACAUAUUCCAGCUGAACAGGACAGAAUGGAAACUCUGCUGUAUAGAAGGCAGGUGAGUUAUGACCGUAGGCCACAAGAGUCCGGUCAUGACCAAUAUCCACGCGAUGACUUUCCCCCGACACCACAACCAGUCUGAGAUUUUUCUGUAUUUCUUUUGCAAUGUGUUGCAUCAGCCAAACGAUGCAAACUGGCCACCAGGAGAACCCGUCCAAAAUGGCCGGUCUGGUCCUGUUUGUGAUCUCUGCAAAAACAGAGCGGGGGCCAGUAGCCCUUUUCUCCCCCCGCCUGGAUGUAAGUUUACUAACUGUGUGUUACAGGUGUUCCUGAUGCAAGGACUAAAGCUUCGCUACGGAAGAAAAAUAAGACCUAAUACAAAGUAGUCUAUGGCCAGCCAAGAAAUGGUUUAACCAGCAUCUCAAAUGUCAAUUACAUUAAAACUUGUAUUGAACUGCUGUUUUUUCCUUUUGUACUCUCGUUUCACACAGCAGAUUAAACACGAGGCUGCCUGGGAAGCAGCAACUUUACAGUAUGCUCAAUUGCUUCAGUGGACAAAUGAAGACUGCCGGAACCCAAAAAAGAGGACUUGCUUUGGUUAACAAAUUAGCACCAGUACAAAGGAGGCUUUGGGCUGCAUCGCCAUUAUUCUGCUAGUUAGCCUCCUCGCUUCCACUUCAUUGUCAUACUGUCAAGCUGAUGCUAUGAAAUACCCAACAAAAGCUACACGUCUUUUUUUGGCAUCUUUUUAAACAUCACCGGCAGAUACCAGCAUGCCCUUUGGGUGAAACCGUGCAUUCUGUGUCUUGCUUAAAGAAGUUGUUGAUCGAAGCACCAUUAACUUAAAAAAAAUGAAUGUGCAGUCUGCUCUAAUAUCUGUGCAUGCAGCUCGCCCGCCGAAUCUCAGCACAAAGCCAAAUCGAAACACAGUCAGCCAAUCAAAGCAAAUGUUCUUAAGAGUUUAAUACAACAUGUGACCCAUACAGCCAGAGAGCCCCCCACCCUGAGCCCUGUUACUACACAGAGGAGCGUUUAGCAGGUAGAGCCACAGAUAGAUAUCCAGAAACAUGGACUCAGUAAAUAAGUAAAUAAGCAACACGUGGGUUUGCAACACCAACCUGAAAAAGGGUUGAAGGGUUUGUGGUGCGUUUACAGUUUUCUUCCCCCGAGUAGCCUGAAAACGAAAUACCUGAUUCAACAUCCCGGACCAGCAUUCAUCUGGUGUUGCAAAGCCAAAUGCCGUCCCCCCCCCCCUCUGCAUCGCCAGGUUUACACUUGAGAUGUAACGGCCCGGUUUUUCAGAGAAACGUUGUUCUCCUCAGCUGACUCGCAGUCCUUAAGGAUGAUUUUGGCGUCUGUUUUGUCUUUUUCGCAUCCAGGGCAAGAAAACCCACUGAUCAUCAGAUGUAAACUAAAUGAUACAUUAUUCAUCAUAUGAACAAUCUGGGUUGUGAUAAAUGAUCAAAGGGGCAACCCUUACUUUCCUCACUGCUCCCCUGCUCUUCUGCCAGAGUUUCAGAGCCAUUAUUACCAACUUCCCAGAUUUCUCAUAGUGCACCUCUGGGUCCCAUCACCCGUGUGUGUGUCUAUGAGAAUGGAUCCAUAUUGUUUUCUGUAUUGUGUAGCCACAGAAGACCUCUAGCAUACAGGUGUGUGUCUAGUUGUUGCAGCUGAUAAGACAUGUGUGUCACAAACCCUCUAAGGAGGGACAAACGGUGGAUAACCCCAAGUAAUGAGCUUUAAUUUAGUGAAAGGCAAUAAAAGGGAGUAUUUGUUUACAGGCAGCUGCAGCGUUGCUUCCUUAGAAUCACGAGGUCAAGUAGCUUUAUAGUCGUGACAGGCCCCAACAGCAGCCCCUUUGUUUGCUGUGGGCCUUUCCAUGCGCAUGGCUUCCAUUUCCCUUGGUUCAAAGAGGGUGAGUGUCCUCAACCUAAUGUUGGUCUUGGCCCUUUUUCACUUGCGCAGAUGCUUCCCACUUUCUCUGGCCUUCAUGGCCGAAAGCAUGUCAAUUACUGGCUACAUCCUGCCCCGCGUGAAAGCAGGAGGUUAUGUCCGAAAUAUGAAUAAUAUUGAGGUCUCUGCGGAUCGCCAGGAGGCAGAGACCCAGAAAUAGCGUCUGUGUCGUUUCAAAGCGGAGCAAUUAUCCAAAGCCAGGCUGGACGAAUCGAUUCCUGCAGUCUUUUUUAAAUGCUCCCGGCCAAUUAUACAGGCAGUGCAUCCUCCCUUUUAGGCCCAUCCUUGAUUUAGACACCACCCACUGAUGGGACUACACCAGGAGCACUUGCUCUUUUUUUUAAAAUGUAUUUUGUUUCCUUCUUUCUCUUUCCUUCUCAUUUGUUACACCGUCACUCUCAUCCCGUCUCCCCCUCUCUCUUGCCUACUCCACCAGUAAGAUAUUCCAAUUAUUACUACUGGAGGAGCACCCCCACCCUCCCUACUUCGCAUCAUACGCCACGUGACCACAACCACUGUCGGAACCAGCUGUUAGUCAGAGAGAGAGAGAGGGGAGAGAGAGGGGAGAGAGAGAGAGAGCGAGGCAGAGACACCAACUCGCUGCGCACGGCGCACAGCCCACAAAGUAGACUUGGAGGACCGCUGCGCUCUGACUGGAGAGCUGCUCGCUUCAGCCGUGGAUACUAUCGCACAACCGGCGUCGUCUCCUGAGCCGCUGUCCCUGGGAUACCCUGGCUCCGUCCUCUCCUUUCACAGUUUUUCGUACCCCCCUCCCCCUCUCCCUCCCUUCCCCUUCUUUUUUUUUUUUUUUGCUUUUCUUUCUCAUCUUUCCUCCCCGUCUCCUCAUCCUCGAGCAUCAUCCCCGGUCUCGCAAGUGGUCUUGCCCGCCUGGCUAACUUUCCCACCCCCCCUUCACCCACCCCGCC
This is a long non-coding RNA of Gasterosteus aculeatus aculeatus (three-spined stickleback), 12951 nucleotides long. The record is from Ensembl. Lineage: Eukaryota; Metazoa; Chordata; Actinopteri; Perciformes; Gasterosteidae.